GGAGAGGUGUCCGAGCGGCUUAAGGUGCAGACCUGGAACGUCUGUGUGGGGGUAAAACUUCACCGAGGGUUCAAAUCCCUCUCUCUCCG
Molecule: transfer RNA, 89 nt
Filed under: Candidatus Melainabacteria bacterium LEY3_CP_29_8
Lineage: Bacteria; Bacillati; Candidatus Melainabacteria
Description: tRNA-Ser
Rfam family: tRNA
About the family: Transfer RNA (tRNA) molecules are approximately 80 nucleotides in length. Their secondary structure includes four short double-helical elements and three loops (D, anti-codon, and T loops). Further hydrogen bonds mediate the characteristic L-shaped molecular structure. tRNAs have two regions of fundamental functional importance: the anti-codon, which is responsible for specific mRNA codon recognition, and the 3' end, to which the tRNAs corresponding amino acid is attached (by aminoacyl-tRNA synthetases). tRNAs cope with the degeneracy of the genetic code in two manners: having more than one tRNA (with a specific anti-codon) for a particular amino acid; and 'wobble' base-pairing, i.e. permitting non-standard base-pairing at the 3rd anti-codon position.
Source: RNAcentral